Molecule: ribosomal RNA, 465 nt
Filed under: uncultured bacterium
Lineage: Bacteria
Description: partial 16S ribosomal RNA
Rfam family: Bacterial small subunit ribosomal RNA
Source: RNAcentral
CUACGGGACGCAGCAGUGAGGAAUUUUGCGCAAUGGGGGAAACCCUGACGCAGCAACGCCGCGUGAGUGAUGAAGGCCUUCGGGUCGUAAAGCUCUGUCAAGUGGGAAGAACCCACCCUGUGCUAAUAUCACAGGGUGCUGACGGUACCACUGAAGGAAGCACCGGCUAACUCCGUGCCAGCAGCCGCGGUAAUACGGAGGGUGCAAGCGUUAUUCGGAAUUACUGGGCGUAAAGGGCGCGUAGGCGGCUUUUUAAGUCAGAUGUGAAAUCCCGGGGCUCAACCCCGGAAGUGCAUCUGAAACUAAGAAGCUUGAGUAUGGGAGAGGGAAGUGGAAUUCCUGGUGUAGAGGUGAAAUUCGUAGAUAUCAGGAGGAACACCGGUGGCGAAGGCGACUUCCUGGACCAAUACUGACGCUGAGGCGCGAAGGCGUGGGGAGCAAACAGGAUUAGAUACCCCCGUAGUC